AUGAACUCUGAAGGUGUUCACACAUUAACCCUGAACUUUUCCAUUUCCUGCUGCAAGCAGAAGGCUGCUGAAGGAGCUGGGAAUGCUCAGCCUGGAGAGAAGGAGGCUCAAGGGAGACCUCAGCACUCUACAGCUCCUUGACUGGAGGUAGGUGGGGUCAGGUUCUGCUCCCAAGGGACAGGAUGAGAGGAACUGGCCUCCAGUUGUGCCAGGGGAGGUUUGGAUUGCAUAUUGGGGCAAAAAAGGGGUUAUUAAGCAUUGGCAGAGGCUGCCCAGGGCAGUGGAGAAAUAAUAAUUCCUGGAGAUGUUUAAAAGGUGUGCAGGUGUGGCACUGAUGGACAAGGGGUAGUGGUGGAUUUGGUGCUCCUGGGUUAUAGCUGGACUUGACUUCCGAGGUCUUUUUUCACCUAAAUGGUUGAGUACCUAUAAACACUUGUCACUUGGUGUCCUGGGGGCAGGGAGGAUCCUUUUGGGAUUCCCUUGUAGGGGACGGUGAGGGACAGUGCUGUUGCAUACUACAGCAGAGAUUGAUUCCGGGUUUCUUUCCUGUAGUGCUUUGUAGUCCUGGAAUUUGCUGUGGAUCUUACACUUGUUAGAACACUGGAAAAUUUGGUUUAGUCACGAGCAUAAAAGGCUAAAGUCAUUUUAGUGACUGCUCACAGGAGGGUUUCUGUUCGUGAUCCAAAGUGGGACAGAAAAGAGAAUACAGACCUCAGCCUGCCUGAUCUGUUAAAGGUAAGUUCAGGUACGUGGGCACUGCACACAACUUUUUAUUAUCCAUUUGUUUUCACAAUAAAACCACCAGAAAUAGUCACACAAUCUUUGGAAAUGCUAAAAAGGUUUGUGGGAAAGGUCUGCCUUGGCUGUUGCUGCCACAGUGCUGACCCUGUCUGGGUGGCAACUUUUCUUUCCUGGCACUCGCAGAUUCCAAGUGCACAUGACCCAACAUUUUUAAGGUGUCCUACACCACUGAGGGAACAUUGGCACAACGGAGAGAGAGUCCCAUCAUUGAUGGGCUCUUGGGUAACACUGUUAAUGGGUUACAGUGAGGUUUGGCAGGGUGUUCCUGGAAGGUGCUGCAAGGUGAGCAGCAGGACUCUGAACUCUACAACAGCUCAGGUAGCGUGUAAUUUUUAAACAAAAACUGAUUUCAAACAUUGCUGCUUUCAUAAACCUUACACAUAGACACUACUACUGGGCCUUUAAUAUUUAGCAAAAUACUUUCAGAUGAGUGGACAGAAAUUGUCUGAGAGGAAUUGUUCCAUCCUUAGACUUCAUCUUGUCACAAUUGAAUAAGCAAAUUGAUUCCUUAAUUAUAAAAUCAUAGAAUCUCCUGAGCUGGAAGAGACACAUCAGUAUCAUAGAGCCCAACUCAUGGCCCUGCACAGACACCCAAAAUCCCACCCUCUGCCUGAGAGUGUCCCCCAAAUAGUCUUGGAGCUCUGGCAGCCUUGAGGCUGUGACCAUUCCCUGGGGAGCCUGUUCAGUGCCCAGCACCCUCUGAGGGAAGAACCUUUUCUAGAUCUUCAGCCUGACCCUGCCCUGGCCCAGAUCCAUUCUCCUGGGUCUUGUCUCUGGUCACCAGAGAGGAAAGAUCAGCGUCUGCCCCCCUCUUCCCUUGUGCUUUAUAUACAUUUGAUUUGCCAGGUCUUCAAGAAUUUCAAGAAUACUUUUUUUUUAAAUCUGCAAAUGCAGUUCCAGUAUCAGAUGCUGUUUUCAGUAUCAUUGAAGAGAUGAUAAACCCCUCAUCAAACACAAAGCCAGGUGAGGUCAGUGUUGUUUCAGCAAGCUACAGUCAGCUUCUAAAGCUUUGCUCUGGACAGCUCUGGGCUGCCCACACUUCAUUCUCCAUGGAAUUUGUGUUCCAGCCCCUCUGGUGGUCAGGAUGCCCAUUCUGCUGGGGGCAGCAAUGCACACAGGCUGACUCCUAGGAAAAUUGUUGCAGGAAGAGCUGCUUCUCCUCUUUUGAGCUCCUGCUAGUUUCAUUUGCAGAUUUCUGUUGGAUUCGUGGAUUGCUGCUUGUGGAGCUGGAGGAGCCAGCAAAGAGUUGUUUCUUACCUUCUGUCUCUCUGUUACUCAUGACCACUUAGAUUUUUGUGACAGUGCUCCUUUAUGAACCCCCAGCUGUGGAACUUUUUAAAUCACAGCAGUUUUCAGGGCUGCCUUGCUUGUGGUUUAUUUCAGUAAUUUGCUGCCUACUCCUAGAUUGUCUUUAAAAAAAACCAAAACAGGUUUCUCGAAGUGUAACCUUUCCUGUCCUGCUUUUGAUGACAGCAAAGAUUCACAGUAAUGGGAAGACAAUGGUCUGGAACACCCAAUCUUUCCAAGCAGUUGUGCUAUUGCCAUGGUAUGCAUUCCUCCAGCUGAGCCUGAUGUGAUUCCUGCUCACAUCUGCACUGACACAUCUCUGAGGUUCAUGCUGGAAAGGUUUCUGCAGCUAAAUACAAUCCUCACAGGGGUUAAUUACACAACAUUCGAGAUCAAUACACAAGACUGA
Molecule: non-coding RNA, 2497 nt
Organism: Taeniopygia guttata (zebra finch)
Lineage: Eukaryota; Metazoa; Chordata; Aves; Passeriformes; Estrildidae
Source: RefSeq, a predicted model, not a curated record